RNAcentral lists this ribosomal RNA (713 nucleotides) under uncultured Thelephoraceae. Its description in RNAcentral is "eukaryotic LSU rRNA". The stretch from base 260 to 414 matches the Rfam family "5.8S ribosomal RNA". Lineage: Eukaryota; Fungi; Basidiomycota; Agaricomycetes; Thelephorales; Thelephoraceae. The record is from RNAcentral.
AGAGGAAGUWAAAGUCGUAACAAGGUUUCCGUAGGUGAACCUGCGGAAGGAUCAUUACUGAACUGUCGACACGAGUUGUUGCUGGUCCUCAAAUGGGGGCAUGUGCACACUCUGUUUACAUACCCACUCACACCUGUGCACCCUCUGUAGUUCUAUGGUGUGGGGGACUCUGUCUUCCCACUGUGGUUCUAUGUCUUUACACACACACACAGUGAUAAAGUYUCAUGGAAUGUACAUCGCGUUUAACGCAAUACAAUACAACUUUCAGCAACGGAUCUCUUGGCUCUCGCAUCGAUGAAGAACGCAGCGAAAUGCGAUAAGUAAUGUGAAUUGCAGAAUUCAGUGAAUCAUCGAAUCUUUGAACGCACCUUGCGCCCUUUGGCUAUUCCGAAGGGCAUGCCUGUUUGAGUAUCAUGAACACCUCAACUCUCAUGGUUUGCCAUGAUGAGCUUGGACUUUGGGGGUCUUGCUGGCCUAUGGUCAGCUCCUCUAAAAUGAAUCAGCUUGCCAGUGUUUGGUGGCAUCACAGGUGUGAUAACUAUCUACGCUUGUGAAUUUCCACCAGAUAACCUUCAGCAAUGAAGGUUCGCUGGGGCUCAUAAAUGUCUCUCCUCAGYGGAGACGGCUCUUUUGAAUGUUUGAUCUCAAAUCAGGUAGGACUACCCGCUGAACUUAAGCAUAUCAAUAAGCGGAGGAAAAGAAACUAACAAGGA